GUGGUCACUGCAGCAGCACGUAUACUAAAAUUGGAACGAUAUAGAGAAGAUAAGCAUGGCCCAUGUGCAAGGAUGACACACAAAUUCAUGAAGCACCCCAUAUUUUA
Molecule: small nuclear RNA, 107 nt
Organism: Cercocebus atys (sooty mangabey)
Lineage: Eukaryota; Metazoa; Chordata; Mammalia; Primates; Cercopithecidae
Source: Ensembl